GACGAACGCUGGCGGCGUGCUUAACACAUGCAAGUCGAACGGAAAGGCCCUGCUUGCAGGGUACUCGAGUGGCGAACGGGUGAGUAACACGUGGGUGAUCUGCCCUGCACUUCGGGAUAAGCCUGGGAAACUGGGUCUAAUACCGGAUAGGAGCCAUUUUUAGUGUGAUGGUUGGAAAGUUUUUUCGGUGUAGGAUGAGCUCGCGGCCUAUCAGCUUGUUGGUGGGGUAAUGGCCUACCAAGGCGGCGACGGGUAGCCGGCCUGAGAGGGUGGACGGCCACAUUGGGACUGAGAUACGGCCCAGACUCCUACGGGAGGCAGCAGUGGGGAAUAUUGCACAAUGGGCGCAAGCCUGAUGCAGCGACGCCGCGUGGGGGAUGACGGCCUUCGGGUUGUAAACUCCUUUCGCUAGGGACGAAGCUUUUUGUGACGGUACCAAGAUAAGAAGCACCGGCUAACUACGUG
This 465-nucleotide ribosomal RNA is filed under the name uncultured bacterium. RNAcentral describes it as "partial 16S ribosomal RNA". It matches the Rfam family "Bacterial small subunit ribosomal RNA", at positions 28 to 507 of the family's 1533-position model. The record is from RNAcentral.